GUGCUCACUUCGGCAACACAUAUACUAAAAUUGAAACGAUCCAGAGAAGAUUAGCAUGGCUCCUGCCAAGGAUGACACGCAAAUCUGUGGAGCAUUCCAUAUUAAA
Molecule: small nuclear RNA, 106 nt
Organism: Molossus molossus (Pallas's mastiff bat)
Lineage: Eukaryota; Metazoa; Chordata; Mammalia; Chiroptera; Molossidae
Source: RefSeq, a predicted model, not a curated record